RNAcentral lists this transfer RNA (55 nucleotides) under Chortoglyphus arcuatus. RNAcentral's name for it is "tRNA-Leu". Lineage: Eukaryota; Metazoa; Arthropoda; Arachnida; Sarcoptiformes; Chortoglyphidae. The record is from RNAcentral.
AUUGUAAAAGCAGAAUAAUGCAUAAAAUUUAGAAUUUUAAGGGAAUCUUACAAUA